GUGGGGAAUAUUGGACAAUGGGCGCAAGCCUGAUCCAGCCAUGCCGCGUGAGUGAUGAAGGCCCUAGGGUUGUAAAGCUCUUUCACCGGUGAAGAUAAUGACGGUAACCGGAGAAGAAGCCCCGGCUAACUUCGUGCCAGCAGCCGCGGUAAUACGAAGGGGGCUAGCGUUGUUCGGAAUUACUGGGCGUAAAGCGCACGUAGGCGGACAUUUAAGUCAGGGGUGAAAUCCCGGGGCUCAACCCCGGAACUGCCUUUGAUACUGGGUGUCUGGAGUAUGGAAGAGGUAAGUGGAAUUCCGAGUGUAGAGGUGAAAUUCGUAGAUAUUCGGAGGAGCACCAGUGGCGAAGGCGGCUUACUGGUCCAUUACUGACGCUGAGGUGCGAAAGCGUGGGGAGCAAACAGGAUUAGAUACCCGAGUAGUCC
This 425-nucleotide ribosomal RNA is filed under the name uncultured bacterium. RNAcentral's name for it is "partial 16S ribosomal RNA". It matches the Rfam family "Bacterial small subunit ribosomal RNA", at positions 354 to 796 of the family's 1533-position model. The record is from RNAcentral.